This 474-nucleotide ribosomal RNA is filed under the name uncultured bacterium. Its description in RNAcentral is "partial 16S ribosomal RNA". It matches the Rfam family "Bacterial small subunit ribosomal RNA", at positions 28 to 507 of the family's 1533-position model. The record is from RNAcentral.
GAUGAACGCUAGCGGCAGGCCUAACACAUGCAAGUCGAGGGAGGAGCUUUCGGGCUUCGACCGGCGUACGGGUGCGUAACGCGUAUACAAUCUGCCUUUCACAUAGGGAUAGCCCGAAGAAAUUUGGAUUAAUACCUAAUGGUAUAUAGAGGUGGCAUCACCUUUAUAUUAAAGCUGAGGCGGUGAAAGAUGAGUAUGCGUUCUAUUAGCUAGUUGGAGAGGUAACGGCUCCCCAAGGCGACGAUAGAUAGGGGUUCUGAGAGGGAUAUCCCCCACACUGGUACUGCGAUACGGACCAGACUCCUACGGGAGGCAGCAGUGAGGAAUAUUGGACACUGGUCGGAAGACUGAUCCAGCCAUGCCGCGUGCAGGAAGACGGCCUUAUGGGUUGUAAACUGCUUUUGCAGGGGAAGAAUAAGGACUACGCGUAGUUUGAUGACGGUACUCUGCGAAUAAGCAUCGGCUAACUCCGUG